This 465-nucleotide ribosomal RNA is filed under the name uncultured soil bacterium. RNAcentral's name for it is "bacterial SSU rRNA". It matches the Rfam family "Bacterial small subunit ribosomal RNA", at positions 26 to 525 of the family's 1533-position model. The record is from RNAcentral.
AGAACGAACGCUGGCGGCAUGCCUAAUACAUGCAAGUCGAACGAACACUUCGGUGUUAGUGGCGCACGGGUGCGUAACGCGUGGGAAUCUGCCCUUGGGUUCGGAAUAACAGUUGGAAACGACUGCUAAUACCGGAUGAUAUCGAAAGAUCAAAGAUUUAUCGCCCAGGGAUGAGCCCGCGUAGGAUUAGCUAGUUGGUGAGGUAAAGGCUCACCAAGGCGACGAUCCUUAGCUGGUCUGAGAGGAUGAUCAGCCACACUGGGACUGAGACACGGCCCAGACUCCUACGGGAGGCAGCAGUAGGGAAUAGUUGGACAAUGGGCGCAAGCUGAUCCAGCAAUGCCGCGUGAGUGAUGAAGGCCGUUAGGUUGUAAAGCUACUUUUACCCGAGUAUGAAUAAUGACAAGUAUCGGAAGAAACUAAAGCCCCCGGACUAACCUCCGGACGCCCGAAGCGACGCCGGAC